CAGAAAUUGACAUCAAACAGUCACUGGAAUUAUGAAAUUUCAUUAAGUUUAAUAAGAGGAAUUCUGCUUGCAAGAUUGAUAAAUCAUCCUGCCCUGUUUUCGUACCAGCACCCACACUUUUGUUAAACUGGACCAAUUCGAUGGUUAACUGUAAAAACAAAAAUUAUAUUUGUAAUCUUGACAUCCUUAGCUUUCCAAAGAGUGGUCGUUUACUCAAAAUGGAGAUCGUUUGAUAUUUUAAUUAAAUUGCGAAAGUUGAGGUACUGUUGGUAUGUUUGUGCAGAAAAACUGGUUUCGGCUUUCGUUUGUUCUAGUUGAAGAUUUCACUUUUCGUCGAAUCCCGGAACUGUUAUUGACACAUUGCAGCAGAGGAGUUAGAAUCGGAGUUGGAGUUGAAGGAUCGGUAUCGGAAAGGAUAGAAGAAUGAGGCUGGAACUAGAAGCUUGAAGUUGGGAUUAGCGAAUCACUACCAUUUUAUCGGCUAAUUGGAGGUGGGUUCCUUUAGGUUAGCCUACCCAUUUUAGGUUUGGCCAAUUUAGAACUAAUUGUUCACUAUAGGUUUAGAUACAAUGACAAAUUGGAGUAUUAGAUUCCCAUUGUACUCCUAAUGUUCUUCAAAUGCUAUUUUGAAGGAUAUUACACAUGCGUGAUAAUCUAGUUAUCCCCAAUUUUUAUGCAUGUGAUAGAAUCAUUAUGAGAAGUUGUGUAUGAUGAACUUUUCACCCCAAAGCUCAUUAUUAUGUUAAAAUUAUAUUUNNNNNNNNNNNNNNNNNNNNNNNNNNNNNNNNNNNNNNNNNNNNAAUGAUGUGAUAGAUUGGGGAUGAAUGAAAUUGUUUUGAACUUGAUAAAAAUACUCUUUUUAAGUGUCAUUCGAUCCUCAACAAGUUUUGGAAAAUGCCUACAACUUCUUCUAGUUAUAAUUUUAGCAUUUUAUAUGCACCUAAAAUUUUUUGUUAGGCUAAGUAGCUAAGAAUUGAGAAUUAGUAAGCAUAACUUAUAGCAAUGAUGUGUGAUUGAUAUGGUUACACAAGGGAAAUAUAAAUAGUUCUCCCGAUGAUUAACAUAGAAGGAAUGAAUUUAGAAAGUCCAGCAAGCACUAAAGUAGCGACCUAAGUGGUUCAUAAUUCACAAGAGGUUUAGAAAACCUAGAGAACUUAGACGGUUGAUCUUAUGGAAUUGAUUAUGGGCCUUGUGCCAUAUCUAAUUAUGAAAUGUUUCAGUGGGCUUUGGACCACGUUUAUGAAUAAAAUGUUAAGUUAUGAUCCUAGUGAUACCAGAGACUGCCUGAUAUAGGAGUUGGAUAAUCUGGUUGGUUUCCCAGAGGGAAUUCCACAUUACGACAAGAUGAGUCAAGGAGUCGUGUUCUAGCCCUCGAUAGGGAAUUUGACCGACUAGGUAGACCUCCUGAGCCUAACUCACCUCAGUUUGUCUACAUAAAAAUGAACCUAGAUAAUUAUUGUGUGAUACACUUUAUUAUAUAUGUUAUGUUAUGUAUUGAUAUAUGAAUAUGAUAAUGCUUAUAAGAUGAUCAACUGACAGCCAGGUUUCCCAUAUGACUACUGACACCCUAGGUGUAGUAGGAACUCACUGAGGCUUAGAGUCUCAACCCACUCCCUUUUAUUUUUUUCCAGAUAAACAGGUUAAACAAUACAGGGGUAAGAAGGAAGCUGAUGAUCGAGGCUUAGCUUGGAUUAUCUUGAGAUAUUAACAUUAGUUUUCUUCCUUGUCUUGUAUUACUCUGUUUAGAUUCCUUUCCGCUGUGAUGUAUCAGUUUACUACGUUGUACUUGUAUAUUGUAAGUGAAACAAGUUAUUCUGUAAUUUUAAUGUAUCCAGAUUUCAAUUCUGU
RNAcentral lists this long non-coding RNA (1848 nucleotides) under Trifolium pratense (red clover). RNAcentral describes it as "long non-coding RNA (TPRA_LNC011949)". The record is from RNAcentral. Lineage: Eukaryota; Viridiplantae; Streptophyta; Magnoliopsida; Fabales; Fabaceae.